GACGAACGCUGGCGGCGUGCCUAAUACAUGCAAGUAGAACGCUGAAGGAGGAGCUUGCUCUUCUGGAUGAGUUGCGAACGGGUGAGUAACGCGUAGGUAACCUGCCUGGUAGCGGGGGAUAACGAUUGGAAACGAUAGCUAAUACCGCAUAAGAGUAGAUGUUGCAUGACAUUUACUUAAAAGGUGCAAUUGCAUCACUACCAGAUGGACCUGCGUUGUAUUAGCUAGUUGGUGGGGUAACGGCUUACCAAGGCGACGAUACAUAGCCGACCGGAGAGGGUGAUCGGCCACACUGGGACUGGGACACGGCCCAGACUCCUACGGGAGGCAGCAGUAGGGAAUCUUCGGCAAUGGACGGAAGUCUGACCGAGCAACGCCGCGUGAGUGAAGAAGGUUUUCGGAUCGUAAAGCUCUGUUGUAAGAGAAGAACGAGUGUGAGAGUGGAAAGUUCACACUGUGACGGUAUCUUACCAGAAAGGGACGGCUAACUACGUG
Molecule: ribosomal RNA, 495 nt
Filed under: uncultured bacterium
Lineage: Bacteria
Description: partial 16S ribosomal RNA
Rfam family: Bacterial small subunit ribosomal RNA
Source: RNAcentral